CAAUUCAGUAAUUGUGAUAAAUAGUUACAAAGACUAUUUUAUUUAAGCAUGUAAAAAUUAGAAACUGCUAAUAAUUAAUACAAAAACUCUGCCAAAAUUACUAUUUAUUUGCUAUCUCACUUUCAUUUACAUGCUCUACAUACAAAUUCUAAGUUUAUUGUCAUAGUGGCUGACUAGAAGGCUAUUAACCUCAUUUUUCUUUGUUUUAUAGGCUUAUGUGACACUAGAAUUGAAUUUCACGGCAGCAUCACUUGUUAUGAUGUAUUACCGUUAGAGGCUGAAGAAUUGGGAUCGUGGACUUUGAUAGUGCGUAGUCCAUGGUGGUAGCGGUGAGGAAGAUGGCGGCCGCUUCGAGAAGGUUCUCGGUCACUGUAGGGUCGAGGUGGCGGCGAAUUUUGAGAAGGUGGCCGUGGACUUGGUUGUUUUGCAUUAUUGUAAGAUUAGGGUUAUUGGGUUAUCUGGAAACUGGGAAAUGGUAGUUACGGGUGCGAG
Molecule: unclassified non-coding RNA, 492 nt
Filed under: Hevea brasiliensis (rubber tree)
Lineage: Eukaryota; Viridiplantae; Streptophyta; Magnoliopsida; Malpighiales; Euphorbiaceae
Source: RNAcentral